Molecule: ribosomal RNA, 230 nt
Filed under: uncultured bacterium
Lineage: Bacteria
Description: partial 16S ribosomal RNA
Rfam family: Bacterial small subunit ribosomal RNA
Source: RNAcentral
AUUGAACGCUGGCGGCAUGCUUUACACAUGCAGGUCGAGCGGCAGCGCGGGGCUUGGGCAACCGAGCUUUGGCGGCGAGCGGCGAACGGGUGAGUAAUGCAUCGGAACGUAUCCUGUAGUGGGGGAUAACCGGCGAAGCCGGGCGUAAUACCGCAUAUGCUCUUUGGAGGAAAGCGGGGGACGUCAACAGGCAACUGAGGAGCCUUGUGCUAGAGGAGCGGCCGAUGUCC